RNAcentral lists this ribosomal RNA (460 nucleotides) under uncultured bacterium. Its description in RNAcentral is "partial 16S ribosomal RNA". It matches the Rfam family "Bacterial small subunit ribosomal RNA", at positions 28 to 523 of the family's 1533-position model. The record is from RNAcentral.
GAUGAACGCUGGCGGUGUGCCUAAUACAUGCAAGUCGAGCGGUAAGGCUACUUCGGUAGUACACGAGCGGCGGACGGCUGAGUAACACGUAGGAACGUACCCAAAAGUGAGGGAUAAGCACCAGAAAUGGUGUCUAAUACCGCAUGUGCUCUAAGGAGUAAAGCUUUAUGCGCUUUGGGAACGGCCUGCGCAUGAUUAGCUUGUUGGUAAGGUAAAAGCUUACCAAGGCGACGAUCAUUAGCUGGUCUGAGAGGAUGAUCAGCCAGACUGGGACUGAGACACGGCCCAGACUCCUACGGGAGGCAGCAGUAGGGAAUUUUCCACAAUGGGCGAAAGCCUGAUGGAGCAACACCGCGUGCAGGAUGAAGGCCUUCGGGUUGUAAACUGCUUUUAUAAGUGAAGAUUAUGACGGUAACUUAUGAAUAAGGAUCGGCUAACUCCGUGCCAGCCGCCGCGGUAA